This 1232-nucleotide long non-coding RNA is filed under the name Homo sapiens (human). RNAcentral's name for it is "HSALNT0245973". Lineage: Eukaryota; Metazoa; Chordata; Mammalia; Primates; Hominidae. The record is from RNAcentral.
GAGCCCAGAAGAGCUGCCCGCCAGGGAGGAGGAGCUGGGGGGAGCAGAGGCCUGGACCAGCUGGGAUGUUCCCAUCGGCGUGUCCCUCCCGCCCAGGCCACGUGGGCAGGGGAGGAAGAAGGGAGGAGGAGCGGAGGGGCCCUUGUCUUCCCAGAGCCUCUCCCUUCCUCCCCUCCCCCUCCCUCUGCUCAUCUCAUCAUGAGACAGCUGGCAAGGGCCUUCGGCUGCCCUGGAGUGCCCCUGCCCUGGCCAAGCUCUUGCCGCCCCCUUCUUCUGGAGGUGCCAGAUGGGGCGGGCCCAAGGCAGUGGAGGUCUGGGCCCUGGCUCCAGCUCUGUCUCCUCCUGAGGGCCCUGGAGGAGCCAGGAGGAGGGCCUAGCAGGGCCGGGCAGAUGGUGGGCCGGGAGGAGGGGCUGCCUGGGUAGACGGACCGACUGGCAAGACAGAUGGUGGACCAGGCAGGGGUCCGGAGCCCGCCCCAUCUGCUCCAGUCCCUGGUGGGACUUUUCUUGUCCACCUCGGGCUGAACUGGGAUGGACUGUGUGGGUGGCUGUGGCCCAGGCCGGAUUCUGUCACACUGGGUCCUCUGUCCCUGGGGCAUGGCCAGCCGGGUGCUCAUCUGGGGUCUUGAAGCCUCCUCCUGGCAGCUGGCACGUGGCUGGAGGUCAUCAUGUUUCGGGGGCUCCUGAGGGUCUGGGGGCCAUGACUGAGCAGAGCCUGGGGCGCGUCCCGGGAAUGAAGCCACCGCUGCAGAUGAGGGGCUUUGUAGGUGGGUGGGUGACUGUAGCCCCUGGAGGGGCUGCCUGGGGCCCAACGCUGAUAGGGCCCGGGACAGGAAGAUGCUUAGUCACGUGUUUGCGCUGCAGGUGCACCCCCAGCCCAGGCGACAUCAACGGCCAGCCCCACACACGUGAGGAGGGAUUGUGGGCCCAGGGGCGCUCAGGAUGGGGCCGGGCUGCUUCUCAGAAGAGGGGACGCUGAGCCCAAGCAGGCUGCACUCCUGCUUGGACGGAAGGUGGAUGGGUGGGGUGGGAAGGGGUGGGAAACGCCCAGCCCUGAUGGGCUUGCGGGAGCCUGCGGGAGGGCCUUGCGUCUAGCUAAGGCGUGGGGAGCACCUCCCGUGGCCCCGUCCUUAGACCCCCGAGGGGUGGGGCGCUGCGGGUGGAUCCUGGGGGUCUGAGGGUGCCAGGAGGAUUUCUCAUGUUGAGUUCUAGUGUUGAUGAUGCUAAUCCAA